Molecule: long non-coding RNA, 441 nt
Filed under: Brassica napus (rape)
Lineage: Eukaryota; Viridiplantae; Streptophyta; Magnoliopsida; Brassicales; Brassicaceae
Description: long non-coding RNA (BNAP_LNC009077)
Source: RNAcentral
GUGUUGGCAAGGGAGGCCAUUUGCCGAACUUGGGAUGGUGAAUGUAUUUAGGAGGAAGAUGUGGAAACUUUGGAAGUGGUGGACACGGCUUCUUCGGAAUCACCACCGGUGGCACGUAGAUUGGUGGAUGCUCUAUCUUCGGCGGCGGCUUGUAGAUCGGGACUGGUGGUGGAAGCUCGAUCUUUGGGGGGCAUGCCUUCUUCGGUGGCGGCUUGUGAACGUGAACCGGCGGUGGGCAUGGCUUCUUAGGAGGUGAAUGCUCUAUCUUUGGUGGCGGCUUGUAAACGGGAACAGGAGGUGGGUGCUCUAUCUUCGGCGAUUUAGGAGGACAAGACUUCUUAGGAGCCGGUGGUGGAAGCUCCACCUUCGGGGGUGGAUCGUGAACCGGGACAGGUGGCGGAAGCUCUACCUUUGGUGGUGGUGGAACCUCCUCAGGGGGAG